Molecule: unclassified non-coding RNA, 309 nt
Filed under: plant metagenome
Description: partial contains 5.8S ribosomal RNA, internal transcribed spacer 2, and large subunit ribosomal RNA
Rfam family: 5.8S ribosomal RNA (bases 1-105)
Source: RNAcentral
GAAAUGCGAUAAGUAGUGUGAAUUGCAGAAUUCAGUGAAUCAUCGAAUCUUUGAACGCACAUUGCGCCCCUUGGUAUUCCAUGGGGCAUGCCUGUUCGAGCGUCAUUUGUACCCUCAAGCUCUGCUUGGUGUUGGGUGUUUCUCCCGUCUCCGCGCGUGGACUCGCCCCAAAGUGAUUGGCAGCCGGCGUACUGGUCCCGGAGCGCAGCACAUGUCGCGCAAACGAGUGCCUUGGUACGGCGGCGUCCAUAAGCCCCUCUCUCACGCUCUUGACCUCGGAUCAGGUAGGGAUACCCGCUGAACUUAAGC